Molecule: small nucleolar RNA, 63 nt
Organism: Ictidomys tridecemlineatus (thirteen-lined ground squirrel)
Lineage: Eukaryota; Metazoa; Chordata; Mammalia; Rodentia; Sciuridae
Source: Ensembl
AACCAGUGAUGUAAUGAUUCUGCCAAGUGAAUGUUAAAACCAUUCCAUUUUGAUACUGAGGUU